RNAcentral lists this small RNA (538 nucleotides) under Pongo abelii (Sumatran orangutan). Its description in RNAcentral is "processed transcript". The record is from RNAcentral. Lineage: Eukaryota; Metazoa; Chordata; Mammalia; Primates; Hominidae.
GUCGGGCUCGGCCGUCGUCGUUGUUUGUCGCCGCAUCCCCGCUUCCGGGUUAGGCCGUUCUUGCCCGCCCCCUCCUCUCCUCCCUUCGGACCCAUAGAUCUCAGGCCCGGCUCCCCGCCCGCCGCAGCCCACUGUUGACCCGGCCCGUACUGCGGCCCUGCGGCCACCAUGUCCCUGCACGGCAAACGGAAGGAGAUCUACAAGUAUGAAGCGCCCUGGACGGUCUACGCGAUGAACUGGAGUGUGCGGCCCGAUAAGCGCUUUCGCUUGGCGCUGGGCAGCUUCGUGGAGGAGUACAACAACAAGGUCUUUGGAGUCCACUUUGAGAAGCUGAUGAAAGCGCUGGAUUCUCAUUGUCCAGACAUUACACAUACAUGAACAAUUUACAAACAAAUCCAAGGAAUAUGCACUGAUCUUUAAGUCCACCCAUUGCCCGGGCGAGAUAGAGCUUUAUUUCCUCUGUUGCUUCUUUCUUCCUUAUGGCCCAUAGUGGACAGCAGAACUGGGAAUGGGAUUCACGAUUCUGAUGUGGACACCG